GACGAACGCUGGCGGCGUGCCUAAUACAUGCAAGUAGAACGCUGAAGAGAGGAGCUUGCUCUUCUUGGAUGAGUUGCGAACGGGUGAGUAACGCGUAGGUAACCUGCCUUGUAGCGGGGGAUAACUAUUGGAAACGAUAGCUAAUACCGCAUAACAAUGGAUGACACAUGUCAUUUAUUUGAAAGGGGCAAUUGCUCCACUACAAGAUGGACCUGCGUUGUAUUAGCUAGUAGGUGAGGUAACGGCUCACCUAGGCGACGAUACAUAGCCGACCUGAGAGGGUGAUCGGCCACACUGAGACUGAGACACGGCCCAGACUCCUACGGGAGGCAGCAGUAGGGAAUCUUCGGCAAUGGGGGCAACCCUGACCGAGCAACGCCGAGUGAGUGAAGAAGGUUGUCGGAUCGUAAAGCUCUGUUGUAAGUCAAGAACGAGUGUGAGAGUGGAAAGUUCACACUGUGACGGUAGCUUACCAGAAAGGGACGGCUAACUACGUG
RNAcentral lists this ribosomal RNA (497 nucleotides) under uncultured bacterium. RNAcentral describes it as "partial 16S ribosomal RNA". It matches the Rfam family "Bacterial small subunit ribosomal RNA", at positions 28 to 507 of the family's 1533-position model. The record is from RNAcentral.